GACGAACGCUGGCGGCGUGCUUAACACAUGCAAGUCGAACGGUAAGGCCCUUCGGGGUACACGAGUGGCGAACGGGUGAGUAACACGUGGGUGAUCUGCCCUGCACUUCGGGAUAAGCCUGGGAAACUGGGUUUAAUACCGGAUAGGACCACUGCCUGCAUGGGUGGUGGUGGAAAGCUUUUGCGGUGUGGGAUGGGCCCGCGGCCUAUCAGCUUGUUGGUGGGGUGAUGGCCUACCAAGGCGCAGACGGGUAGCCGGCCUGAGGGGGUGACCGGCCACACUGGGACUGAGAGACGGCCCAGACUCCUACGGGAGGCAGCAGUGGGGAAUAUUGCACAAUGGGCGCAAGCCUGGUGCAGCGACGCCGCGUGAGGGAUGACGGCCUUCGGGUUGUAAACCUCUUUCAGCACCGACGAAGCGCAAGUGACGGUAGGUGCAGAAGAAGGACCGGCCAACUACGAGCCAGCCGCCGCAGUAA
RNAcentral lists this ribosomal RNA (478 nucleotides) under uncultured bacterium. RNAcentral's name for it is "partial 16S ribosomal RNA". It matches the Rfam family "Bacterial small subunit ribosomal RNA", at positions 28 to 523 of the family's 1533-position model. The record is from RNAcentral.